UAUAAAUCCUAUAAACAAACUUUUUUGACAAACCCUAGAUUGGUAUGUUCUCUCUUCUUCAAUACGCUGGUUCUUCUCAUUCUUCGCCGCCGAUUCAUCAUCCAAAACUGAUCCAUCAUCCAAACCCGAUUGGCUACGCUUAAGCUUAAACCUGGUGGAUUUUUUGUUUUGAAAGACAACCUUGCAAGAUCUGGUACUGGGACAGGUGUAAUCUCCCUAUUUUAUUUUAAUUAUAUUGUAUUUUUAUUAGAUUAUACAGUAAAGUUCAAUGUUUUGUGUUAUACCUUAGUGUUACAUGGUGAUACUUUUACCUAUUGUUUCUAAAUAGUGCACAUAAGACAGUUUGUACGAUUUUGAUGAAUGUUUGAAGUGGAAUAAAAUAAAAGUGGGAGCAAUCUGCUCAUCAAUCCAGGGUUGAUUUGAAAUUCUUUAUAUGUUGGGUGAAUUUAUGUCAAAUAACAAUGAUGGAGCAAAAAGUACGUCUGGUGGGAUGAGCUUGACUUUGGUAGGUCCUAAACAAUUUUGGUGGAGGUCUUGCUGGGAUCUUUUUUAUUUUCUUUAUGUUCUUGAAUGAGCUGUGUGUUUAUGAAUCGAACGUAACAAAACGGAAACUCCAGUUUCUUCUCUUUCUUCUGAAUCGAAUGUUGGUUUAGCUAAUUCAACAGACGAUCAAGUUCAACCACCAACACCUAAUGAAUAUGAUCAUCAACGAGAGCCAUAUGUAUUCAGAUGUUUGUCAUGCUUCAGCAUUUUAAUGCCCACAGGAAAUGGGUUUAAGUUAUUUCGCGGCUUUGGAAAUAAAAACAACGAAGAAAAAAGUGAACUUUCUCUGAAGGAAGUGCCUUUAAAGAAAAGCUGGUUUUCGAACAUAUUUAAAUUGGAAAAGGUGGAGAAUAAUGUCACUGAUCUUAACGUUUCAGUAGCCGUUCAGAGUUUAGAUAUGAAAAAUAAUGCUGGUGGAGUCUCUUCUCUAUCUUCUAACCUAAAUCCGUCAAAUGCAAGAAGCUAACGCACAUAUCUCCAACGGUACAACAGAUUUGGAAAAAAGUCAACUUUCGUUAGAUAAAGUUUUAAGAGAGAGCAGCGGUCAGUAAAUUUAUUCAGAACAUAUAUUCGGUUCAAAUAAGAACCAAUAAAAAUCUAAUCAACGUGAAAACAAUAUAGUGUAUUAGUGAACACAUUAUUCGAGUGCAGUGACAUUUUCGUAAUUAACGUAAAACCAUGUGUAUUCAGUAUUCACCAGUGAAUACACUAUAUACAAAUGAAUCAAAUUUUGACUUGACGUGUUUUCAUGCUACUUACGAAAUUGCCACUGAGUAAUAAAAUCUUCAUGGAACAGAUCUGACGGCCACAUGUGUGUGUGUGUGUGUGUCUGUUUUAGUAAACUUAUAUAAAAUCUACUUUGACUAUGUUUUAAGUCAAAUUACAUGACAAUGAUAUUUGACCAUGGUAUGAUUAUGAAGUUUCAGUUCAAGCACCAAAUGCUAUGCAUGAAGUUUCACAACACGCUGUUCAGAACAAUGUUGAAAUUCAUCUUGAAGAGCCUCUGACUGUCAACAAGGAUGUCUUAACAGACGGUCAAAAAGUUAAUCUUCUCGAAGAUGUGAACAAUAUUGAAUGGGUUAUAUUUGUUUAGCGUCUCUUAUUUCGCUGCAUGAACAGGACACGUUUUCUAACUUUCGCUCUCUAUGUGUUUGUUAGUUGUUCAUUGUUCUCAUGUCAUUGCUUUUGGAUUUUCGGGGAUGAUAACGUAGGUCAUCGCCGGUUUUCAGGUAAACGGGAGUGGAUAGUUUGUUGGCGUUGCUGAAAUGAUGGGGCUUGAUUUCUUAUACAGCCAUGUAACACAAGCCACCACCACAAUCUUGCACCUUAAUUCUCAUUAAGUUCAAUAGGAUGAAGACUCUUGGUUUCAAGUAGAAGGUUAUGUGCUUGCUAAAUUUUGAUCUGCUUAUGAGAAAAGGCCCGAUUUUUGGUUCCACUUUUGGCUCAAAUGGUUCUACCGCAUCUGCUACUUAUGAUGUUGUGACGAGUAGAGAGUUAUCCAACUCGGUUUGUUUUUAUUCUCCUCUGCGUAAUCAGGACAAACAGCAAGUGAUGACCUGUAUGAGGUUCAACUAACUAUACCAGUGGAGGGUUAUGAGUUGGAUAUACUCAUGUUCUCUUGGUGAUGGUGAACGGGAGUGGAUAGUUUGUUGGCGUUGCUGAAAUGAUGGGGCUUGAUUUCUUAUACAGCCAUGUAACACAAGACACCACCACAAUCUUGCACCUUAAUUCUCAUUAAGGAUUGAAGAUAUCGAUCGCAAGCAUAGAUGUUUGGAGUACUGAAGUACUAAAUCCUACCCGAAUAAUAGAGAUUAGAGAUGCUACUAACUUUUUUAGGCGAGAACAUGAGGUUGCACUUGACUCGAGCAAGCCUAGCCUGUCGGCAUCUGAUUAUGAUAGCGGAAGUCAAAUAACAACUGCCAGCCCUUCUAAUAUGACUAUAUGGAUCAGUUUCCUGCUAUGAAAAUUCAAUCCAGAUAUGUAGCAAAACCACCAAGAGCUGGUGGUAGGUGGUGUGGCGGUGGUGUCACCGAAAGGGUGGUGUGAGUUGCCGGCGUUGCAAGAUGGUGUCAAAGGGGAAGGUAGAAGUUGUAUUGCAGAGUUGUGGCGGAGGUGCUCCUUUGGCAACCGGAGUUGCAGGUGGCAGAGGUGCUCCUUUGGCAGCGGGAGUUGCAGUUGGCAGCCGGAGUUGGAGUUGGCAACGAGAGUUGCAGAUAGUGGAAUUGGAAGGUGUUGCCCUAAUGCAAUUGUCAACUUGAUUAGCAAUCCUGUGAAUUCUACGGUUCCAAUCGCUGCAGAAGUUUUCAAGAAAGCUGGUACUUAUGAACUGUUGCUUGAUUUCUACAGAGUUUUUAGCGAUGUUCAUGUUUGGAUGUGACGAAAUACUUAUAUAGAAGAAAAAAAGGUUGCAAAUGGAGCUGCAAAGAUUCAAUUGGAAUUCAAGGAAGAAAAGUAAACGUUACAGGAACUGAUGGCUGUGUCCAGGUCCUCUCUACCUUCGGUGCGCGCUUGGGCGAGUUAGUGCUAAAGACUACAUAGAUGGCUAUGAGAAUGUUGGGUGGUUGAACGUGGAUCGGUUAACGUUUUGAGGAAAAGGUUUGAUAGGGUCAACUUCAAAAGUAUAUUUCGGGUGAUUUUUUAUGUAUUUCCUCUAACUAACUUUUGACUAGGUAAAGUUUUGAUUUAUUUGGGUAUUCCUUAAACAAUGCAUCGUUUCAAGACGUAGCACAUGCAACAGCGUUAGCAUAAUUUGCUCAUGAGUAGAUGGACACGGCUUCUGUGCUUCAAGAAGCUCAUAUCUCUAUCAAUCUCCUUCAUGAACAGAUUAAGCCAAGGUCGAAGCGCAACAAAUUAUGGUUGCCUAUUCAUGGAUUCAAACCUUCAAUUGCAACCAUCAAUUCUAACAAUGAUUCUAACAUUCAAAUGCAACAAAUUAUGCUUGCCUAUUCAUGGAUUCAAAUCUUCAAUUGCAACCAUCAAAGUUUAAUGAAGAAGAUGGCAAAGUAUGCAAAGGAAGGCAUGAGGGUGGAAGCAAGCAAAUCAAAAAUUUAUGGAACAAAGCAUGAUGCUUUUGUUGACAUGAUUGCAAGUGUAUUUAUUUAAAUAUCUUAUAUGACUUCUUAUAAUGAUUGGCAUUGUGAUUGGCUUCUAACUUUUGAUGUCAAAUUUUGACACUUUGUUUAUGUAACAUGACACUUUGUUUGUAUUUUAUUUUGUUUC
RNAcentral lists this long non-coding RNA (3762 nucleotides) under Helianthus annuus (common sunflower). Lineage: Eukaryota; Viridiplantae; Streptophyta; Magnoliopsida; Asterales; Asteraceae. The record is from RNAcentral.